This 490-nucleotide unclassified non-coding RNA is filed under the name Hevea brasiliensis (rubber tree). The record is from RNAcentral. Lineage: Eukaryota; Viridiplantae; Streptophyta; Magnoliopsida; Malpighiales; Euphorbiaceae.
AAAAUGCGCAAAGCAGUCUCCGUAACUACCUUUUCAAAGCUUCCUUCCCUGAUUAGCAAGCAUUUCCCAGCUCUUCCAUCCCUUCUUAAAACCCCCAAAAUCCUAAUUUCCAUGAGUAGUUCAAUUCCUCUCCUGCUCACACUCUUGAAAUUCCUGAGAAACCAUUUUCCUCACUCACAAGUUCCUCGUCCGCCAACAAACCCACUGUAAAUUUUCAUCGAUAGUUUUUCUUUUUCUCCUGGUAUUUUUUUUUUUUGGGAAUCCAUGGCGACGAGAAACCGGACCAUUCAGUACAAAAAGCACAGAGAUGCAGUGAAGAGCGUGCGUGAUCCUUUGUCAUCGUCGGUGUCAGGUUUGGGCGGUCCGGUUAUUGAAAUGGUUAACACUUCGAUACUACGUUCCAAUCAUGCCUCUUAUGCUCCCCUUAGCACUGAAGAUCCUGGUCCUUCCAGUAGUGAUGCCUUUACCAUUGGUUUGCCACCAGCCUGGU